GUAGGUGGCAAGCGUUGUCCGGAAUUAUUGGGCGUAAAGCGCGCGCAGGCGGUUCUUUAAGUCUGAUGUGAAAGCCCACGGCUCAACCGUGGAGGGUCAUUGGAAACUGGAGAACUUGAGUACAGAAGAGGAAAGCGGAAUUCCACGUGUAGCGGUGAAAUGCGUAGAGAUGUGGAGGAACACCAGUGGCGAAGGCGGCUUUCUGGUCUGUAACUGACGCUGAGGCGCGAAAGCGUGGGGAGCAAACAGGGAUAGAUACCCUGGUAGUCCACGCCGUAAACGAUGAGUGCUAAGUGUUAGGGGGUUUCCGCCCCCUUAGUGCUGCAGCUAACGCAUUAAGCACUCCGUCUGGGGAGUACGGCCGCAAGGCUG
RNAcentral lists this ribosomal RNA (372 nucleotides) under uncultured organism. RNAcentral describes it as "partial 16S ribosomal RNA". It matches the Rfam family "Bacterial small subunit ribosomal RNA", at positions 527 to 896 of the family's 1533-position model. The record is from RNAcentral.